ACCUACCCUUAACAGGAGGAUAGCUCCCGGAAACGGGAAUUAAUACUCCAUAACAUUCAGACAGGGCAUCCUGACUGAAUCAAAGCUCCGGCGGUUAAGGAUGGGCAUGCGUGACAUUAGCUUGUUGGUGAGGUAACGGCUCACCAAGGCAACGAUGUCUAGGGGGUCUGAGAGGAUGAUCCCCCACACUGGUACUGAGAUACGGACCAGACUCCUACGGGAGGCAGCAGUGAGGAAUAUUGGGCAAUGGACGCAAGUCUGACCCAGCCAUGCCGCGUGCAGGAUGACAGCCCUAUGGGUUGUAAACUGCUUUUGUACAGGAAGAAACAUCCCGACGUGUCGGGACUUGACCGUACUGUACGAAUAAGCAUCGGCUAACUCCGUGCCAGCAGCCGCGGUAAUACGGAGGAUGCAAGCGUUAUCCGGAUUCAUUGGGUUUAAAGGGUGUGUAGGCGGGAUAAUAAGUCAGCGGUGAAAUCUUUCGGCUCAACCGGAAAACUGCCAUUGAUACUGUUAUCCUUGAGUGUAGUUGAGGUGGGCGGAAUGUGUAAUGUAGCGGUGAAAUGCAUAGAGAUUACACAGAACACCAAUUGCGAAGGCAGCUCACUAAACUAAUACUGACGCUGAGGCACGAAAGCGUGGGGAGCAAACAGGAUUAGAUACCCUGGUAGUCCACGCUGUAAACUAUGAAUACUCGAUGUGUGCGACAUAUUGUACGCGUCUGAGCGAAAGCAUUAAGUAUUCCACCUGGGGAGUACGGUCGCAAGAUUGAAACUCAAAGGAAUUGACGGGGGCCCGCACAAGCGGAGGAACAUGUGGUUUAAUUCGAUGAUACGCGAGGAACCUUACCUGGGCUUAAAUGCAGGACGACGUUCCGGGAAACCGGGACUCCCUUCGGGGCGGACUGCAAGGUGCUGCAUGGCUGUCGUCAGCUCGUGCCGUGAGGUGUCGGGUUAAGUCCCAUAACGAGCGCAACCCCUAUCGUUAGUUGCCAGCGGGUAAUGCCGGGAACUCUAACGAAACUGCCAGUGUAAACUGUGAGGAAGGUGGGGAUGACGUCAAGUCAGCACGGCCCUUAUGUCCAGGGCUACACACGUGUUACAAUGGCCAGUACAAAGGGCUGCUACCAGGUGACUGGAUGCAAAUCUCUAAAACUGGUCUCAGUUCGGAUCGGAGUCUGCAACUCGACUUCGUGAAGAUGGAUUCGCUAGUAAUCGCGCAUCAGCCACGGCGCGGUGAUACGUUCCCGGGCCUUGUACACACCGCCCGUCAAGCCAUGGAAGCUGGGGGUACCUAAAGUCCGUAACCGCAAGGAGCGGCCUAGGGUAAACCAGUGACUGGGGCUAAG
Molecule: ribosomal RNA, 1348 nt
Filed under: uncultured organism
Description: bacterial SSU rRNA
Rfam family: Bacterial small subunit ribosomal RNA
Source: RNAcentral